AAGAAAUCCGUGAUGGCCAUGAUGGCGGGGAAGCUGAACAAUGUUGUCAUCGAAUAUAGAACUAUUAUAUUGAAUCGAAAAAUGAUCUAAGCUGUGGCCUUAAAGGAGUAGUCUCCUUUGAUAAAGAUCAACAGUGACAAAUAAACAAUGCUGUCUUGUCAUCAACGGUGAAAUUUGAGACUUUUAUACCCAUAUAUCUACCAAUCACCUCUGUCCACUUUGUUUUGUACAUCUGAGACAGGUGUACACGAGAUGCCAGUAUUCACUCCUUUCCACGGACACCUGUUAGGAGGAUUUUCAUUUGUUUGCUGCCUUUGUCUUGGGAGGUGGAGGCACCAGGGCAAUGAGGUCAUUUUGUCCCUUUAUGAUGCUGACAGAGAGUCCCUAACCAUCUGAUCCAUCAUGAUAGGCAUUUUUCUUUAUGAUGCAGUACUUGCUGAGAGAGAGAGAGAGAGAGUCUCAUACUCGGAUGAGCACAGCGUAGAUAUAAAUCAAAAUCCCGGACUUGUGUUUCAUACACAAUGAUGUAUAAGUGGCUCAUCUUACAUCAAAUGGAAUGGAUCCAUGCCAGGAUUCACUUUUCCUUCCCAUGCUGGUUCCAGUCCAGUAAACUGUCACAGUCUGGGAAAUUCUGUGAGUUCUCUCUCAAUGCAUGAUGCUAUAAUUUAGCUCUUUUUAGUUCACCUUAACUGAAAGCUUUUGUGAGCUUUUCUGAGAACUUUUGUCUAGCGUCCAUCUGUACAAUUUUGACCUUCUCUGCAGAACCAGAUUAUCAGAAAUCAUUUAGACUUUGUAAACAGAUCUUCUGCAUCACUAAAUCCCGUAAAUACACAAGA
Long non-coding RNA from Magallana angulata, 836 nucleotides. RefSeq lists it as uncharacterized. The record is from RefSeq and is a predicted model, not a curated record. NCBI's taxonomy places the organism in Eukaryota, Metazoa, Mollusca, Bivalvia, Ostreida, Ostreidae. The transcript has 6 exons.